This 497-nucleotide ribosomal RNA is filed under the name uncultured bacterium. RNAcentral's name for it is "partial 16S ribosomal RNA". It matches the Rfam family "Bacterial small subunit ribosomal RNA", at positions 28 to 507 of the family's 1533-position model. The record is from RNAcentral.
GAUGAACGCUGGCGGCGUGCCUAAUACAUGCAAGUCGAGCGAACAGAUGAGGAGCUUGCACCUCUGACGUUAGCGGCGGACGGGUGAGUAACACGUGGAUAACCUACCUAUAAGACUGGGAUAACUUCGGGAAACCGGAGCUAAUACCGGAUAAUAUAUUGAACCGCAUGGUUCAAUAGUGAAAGACGGUUUUGCUGUCACUUAUAGAUGGAUCCGCGCCGCAUUAGCUAGUUGGUAAGGUAACGGCUUACCAAGGCAACGAUGCGUAGCCGACCUGAGAGGGUGAUAGGCCACACUGGAACUGAGACACGGUCCAGACUCCUACGGGAGGCGGCAGUAGGGAAUCUUCCGCAAUGGGCGAAAGCCUGACGGAGCAACGCCGCGUGAGUGAUGAAGGUCUUCGGAUCGUAAAACUCUGUUAUUAGGGAAGAACAAAUGUGUAAGUAACUAUGCACGUCUUGACGGUACCUAAUCAGAAAGCCACGGCUAACUACGUG